GAACGCUGGCGGCGUGCCUAAUACAUGCAAGUCGAGCGAACGGACGAGAAGCUUGCUUCUCUGAUGUUAGCGGCGGACGGGUGAGUAACACGUGGAUAACCUACCUAUAAGACUGGGAUAACUUCGGGAAACCGGAGCUAAUACCGGAUAAUAUUUUGAACCGCAUGGUUCAAAAGUGAAAGACGGUCUUGCUGUCACUUAUAGAUGGAUCCGCGCUGCAUUAGCUAGUUGGUAAGGUAACGGCUUACCAAGGCAACGAUGCAUAGCCGACCUGAGAGGGUGAUCGGCUACACUGGAACUGAGACACGGUCCAGACUCCUACGGGAGGCAGCAGUAGGGAAUCUUCCGCAAUGGGCGAAAGCCUGACGGAGCAACGCCGCGUGAGUGAUGAAGGUCUUCGGAUCGUAAAACUCUGUUAUUAGGGAAGAACAUAUGUGUAAGUAACUGUGCACAUCUUGACGGUACCUAAUCAGAAAGCCACGGCUAACUACGUG
This 494-nucleotide ribosomal RNA is filed under the name uncultured bacterium. RNAcentral describes it as "partial 16S ribosomal RNA". It matches the Rfam family "Bacterial small subunit ribosomal RNA", at positions 31 to 507 of the family's 1533-position model. The record is from RNAcentral.